UGGGACUGAGACACGGCCCAGACCUCUACGGAGGGCAGCAGUGAGGAAUCUUGCGCAAUGGGCGAAAGCCUGACGCAGCCACGCCGCGUGUCGGAAGACGGCCCUAUGGGUUGUAAACGACUUUUAUCAGGGAAGAACGAGGGGGUUUUGAUCUCCUGUGACGGUACCUGAUGAAUAAGCACCGGCUAACUCCGUGCCAG
This 200-nucleotide ribosomal RNA is filed under the name Pseudictyota dubia. Its description in RNAcentral is "partial Bacterial small subunit ribosomal RNA". It matches the Rfam family "Bacterial small subunit ribosomal RNA", at positions 314 to 511 of the family's 1533-position model. The record is from RNAcentral. Lineage: Eukaryota; Bacillariophyta; Thalassiosirophyceae; Eupodiscales; Odontellaceae.